This 93-nucleotide small nuclear RNA is filed under the name Sus scrofa (pig). The record is from RNAcentral. Lineage: Eukaryota; Metazoa; Chordata; Mammalia; Artiodactyla; Suidae.
AGCACAUAUACUAAAAUUGGAAUGAUAUAGAGAAGAUCAUCAUGGCCCCUGCUCAAGGAUGACAUGCAAAUUCGUGAAGCAUUCCAUAUUUUU